GCGCGAAUCAAGACUAUGUGGACUUCUAAGUCGAUUGAUCAUGGCAUGUUUGCUCGCUGCUCUGGUUGCUAAAAUGAUGGGAAUUUGCCAAGGGAGCAAUUCGUAGUUUCAGCAUCAAGAACUGCUCAUCUUCCAUCAGACACCGGCGAUCUCUGACAUAUGUAAGAUCGCCACCUCCCGACGGAGGCGACGGAUGAAUAGAAGUUCGUCUUCCCGAAACAGAGUCCCCAGCGAACCGGCGGCGACGGAGGCCAGCAAGCGACAACGGCUGACCGGAGCCACGGAAAUUGAUGGGGAAGCUUUUGGGUGAAUGGUUCUCUCCUUUGAGGUUCAGGGCGUCAUGCAGCUUGCUGUAGAUCAGGCAACAAGACAUGCAGAGAUGGACGCUCUUGAUGUUCUUCUUCAAUAGGCAGAGGACAAGAUUUUUGGCUGCAAAAGUAGCAGAAAAGUUUUAAGCAUGCUCCCUUUAUGUGACAUUUGAACCAUGCAUGAUGUAUGCAGCAGCAUUAUCAAUCAUUGGUACAUCAAUUUAUCAUACUAAAAUAAAACUGAACUUUCUUAGAAUUUGUUUGUUCAUAAAUGAUUAGAGGACUCUUAACCACUUUUUGUUAAAAAUGAAGUAUAUCAUGGCCGUGCAAAUGAAGUGUAUCAUGGCCGUGCAAAUGAUAACUUUGGAGGCUGUGGCUCGAUACCGUCGUUGCAUUCCAGUACCUCUGAGGCAUGCAUUAGGAAUAUGGUCUGCUGAUUCAAUUUGGCUCCACUAGAUAAUGUUGGAGAUAGUAUCGAAGAUAUCAAAGAUUCCGAGAUCCAGAUCUGCUGGUAAUCCUAAUCAAGGAUUGAUUGAAUUGGAGAAAGAGUAAUUUGUGGGAUCUAUUUAGCAAAUAGGAAUUUUAUUAUUCAUUGUAUAUUAUUUCCUUUUCACUUUCGUUCUUUCUUACAUUAUAAAUGUAUACAGUGUAACUGUAAAUGAAUCAAUACAGAACAAAAAACUUUUUUCUCCA
Eucalyptus grandis is the source of this 1001-nucleotide long non-coding RNA. RefSeq lists it as uncharacterized. Lineage: Eukaryota; Viridiplantae; Streptophyta; Magnoliopsida; Myrtales; Myrtaceae. The record is from RefSeq and is a predicted model, not a curated record. The transcript is spliced from 4 exons.